This 497-nucleotide ribosomal RNA is filed under the name uncultured bacterium. RNAcentral's name for it is "partial 16S ribosomal RNA". It matches the Rfam family "Bacterial small subunit ribosomal RNA", at positions 28 to 507 of the family's 1533-position model. The record is from RNAcentral.
GACGAACGCUGGCGGCGUGCCUAAUACAUGCAAGUUGAGCGCUGAAGGUUGGUACUUGUACCAACUGGAUGAGCAGCGAACGGGUGAGUAACGCGUGGGGAAUCUGCCUUUGAGCGGGGGACAACAUUUGGAAACGAAUGCUAAUACCGCAUAAAAACUUUAAACACAAGUUUUAAGUUUGAAAGAUGCAAUUGCAUCACUCAAAGAUGAUCCCGCGUUGUAUUAGCUAGUUGGUGAGGUAAAGGCUCACCAAGGCGAUGAUACAUAGCCGACCUGAGAGGGUGAUCGGCCACAUUGGGACUGAGACACGGCCCAAACUCCUACGGGAGGCAGCAGUAGGGAAUCUUCGGCAAUGGACGAAAGUCUGACCGAGCAACGCCGCGUGAGUGAAGAAGGUUGUCGGAUCGUAAAACUCUGUAGGUAGAGAAGAACGUUGGUGAGAGUGGAAAGCUCAUCAAGUGACGGUAACUACCCAGAAAGGGACGGCUAACUACGUG